This 789-nucleotide ribosomal RNA is filed under the name uncultured bacterium. RNAcentral's name for it is "bacterial SSU rRNA". It matches the Rfam family "Bacterial small subunit ribosomal RNA", at positions 8 to 796 of the family's 1533-position model. The record is from RNAcentral.
AGAGUUUGAUCAUGGCUCAGAUUGAACGCUGGCGGCAUGCUUUACACAUGCAAGUCGAACGGCAGCGCGGGGCAACCUGGCGGCGAGUGGCGAACGGGUGAGUAAUAUAUCGGAACGUACCCAAGAGUGGGGGAUAACGUAGCGAAAGUUACGCUAAUACCGCAUACGAUCUCAGGAUGAAAGCAGGGGACCGCAAGGCCUUGUGCUCCUGGAGCGGCCGAUAUCUGAUUAGCUAGUUGGUGAGGUAAAGGCUCACCAAGGCGACGAUCAGUAGCUGGUCUGAGAGGACGACCAGCCACACUGGAACUGAGACACGGUCCAGACUCCUACGGGAGGCAGCAGUGGGGAAUUUUGGACAAUGGGGGCAACCCUGAUCCAGCAAUGCCGCGUGAGUGAAGAAGGCCUUCGGGUUGUAAAGCUCUUUUGUCAGGGAAGAAACGGCUGUGGCUAAUAUCCACGGCUAAUGACGGUACCUGAAGAAUAAGCACCGGCUAACUACGUGCCAGCAGCCGCGGUAAUACGUAGGGUGCAAGCGUUAAUCGGAAUUACUGGGCGUAAAGCGUGCGCAGGCGGUUUUAUAAGUCUGUCGUGAAAUCCCCGGGCUUAACCUGGGAAUUGCGAUGGAGACUGCAAGGCUGGAGUCUGGCAGAGGGGGGUAGAAUUCCACGUAGCAGUGAAAUGCGUAGAGAUGUGGAGGAACACCGAUGGCGAAGGCAGCCCCCUGGGUCAAGACUGACGCCCAUGCACGAAAGCGUGGGGAGCAAACAGGAUUAGAUACCCUAGUAGUCC